RNAcentral lists this ribosomal RNA (393 nucleotides) under uncultured bacterium. Its description in RNAcentral is "partial 16S ribosomal RNA". It matches the Rfam family "Bacterial small subunit ribosomal RNA", at positions 523 to 918 of the family's 1533-position model. The record is from RNAcentral.
AUACGUAGGUGGCAAGCGUUGUCCGGAUUUACUGGGUGUAAAGGGCGUGUAGGCGGAGAUGCAAGUCAGGAGUGAAAUCUAGGGGCUCAACCCCUAAACUGCUUUUGAAACUGUAUCCCUUGAGUAUCGGAGAGGCAGGCGGAAUUCCUAGUGUAGCGGUGAAAUGCGUAGAUAUGCCACAGAACGCCGAUAGCGGAGGCAGCUCGCCAGGCCUGCAUGGACGCUCGGGCACGAAAGCGUGGGGAUCGAACAGGAUUAGAUACCCUGGUAGUCCACGCCGUAAACGAUGGGCGCUCGUCGUCGGCGGCAGACAGUCGGCGGCCAAGCGAAAGCGAUAAGCGCCCCACCUGGGGAGUACGGUCGCAAGGCUGAAACUCAAAUGAAUUGACGGGG